RNAcentral lists this transfer RNA (73 nucleotides) under Felis catus (domestic cat). It matches the Rfam family "tRNA". From Rfam's summary of the family: Transfer RNA (tRNA) molecules are approximately 80 nucleotides in length. Their secondary structure includes four short double-helical elements and three loops (D, anti-codon, and T loops). The record is from Rfam by way of RNAcentral. RNAcentral also lists the same sequence under 4 other names. Lineage: Eukaryota; Metazoa; Chordata; Mammalia; Carnivora; Felidae.
ACCUGGCUGGCUCAGUCGGUAGAGCAUAUGACUCUUGAUCUCAGGGUCACGAGUUCAAGCCCCAUGCUGGGUA